CAAGGAAUAGUUUAAUAAAAUAUUAAUUUUGGAGAUUAGAGAUAAGAAGUUUUCUUUUCCUUGA
Molecule: transfer RNA, 64 nt
Filed under: Staphylinoidea sp. 11 KM-2017
Lineage: Eukaryota; Metazoa; Arthropoda; Insecta; Coleoptera
Description: tRNA-Pro
Source: RNAcentral